RNAcentral lists this long non-coding RNA (1044 nucleotides) under Piliocolobus tephrosceles (Ugandan red Colobus). RNAcentral describes it as "lncRNA (ENSPTEG00000013005.1)". Lineage: Eukaryota; Metazoa; Chordata; Mammalia; Primates; Cercopithecidae. The record is from RNAcentral.
UUAAUGGUUCAUUAACUAAAGAAUUAUAUAGUAUGUUAAAUGAAAAUUGUAUUGAUAAAAUAAAAAAAAAAGAAACAAAUGAAUAUAAAAAUAAACAAAAAACAGAAAAUAAUUUAAAUAUUGAAUUUUAUAGUAAUAACAAUCACGAUUUUGGUUCUAAAUAUAAUUAUAAGGAUGUUUUAAAUCUUUUAAAACAUCAGAGAGAACCACAUUAUUCAUUAAACGAAACAAUCAUAAAUGAAACAAUAUGUAUUUUAGAAAAGUGUGAUCUUAAAAAAAGAGGUUAUUAGUAGUAAAUCUCAUUCAACAGAUGAAACAUUAAAUAUGAAUAAAAACAAUUCCUCAAAUUUUAAUGUUGAUUCAUCUGAUACAAAUUGUAUGAAAAAAUUACUAUCUGAAACAUUUAACACAACUUUGAAUGAAAAAAAAAAAAAAAAAUUAUGUUUUUGUAAUAUGUUAACUGAUGAAAAUGACCAUGUUUAUAUGGCUAGAAAAUAUAGUGUUAGACAUGUUUUAGGAGUUGUACAAGAGAUUAAUGAAAAUAUACAUAUAAUUGUUAAUUUAAAAUACAACAGUUUUGAUGCAAUAGAUGAAGUUAGAAAACAAAUCAUUUCUAACAUAUUAAACACUGUUAGUAUUAAUAAUUAUAUUAUAUUAUUAACAAAGAUUAUAAAUUUAACAGUAUAUUGUCGUACAUUUCAAUGUUUAUAUGAUUUUAGAUUUACUCGUGCUUAUUGUGAAAUAAUGAAAAAAAAAACUCCUUCUUCUUUUAAUAAAAGUGAUGGUGGUAAUGGUGGUAAUGGUGGUAGUGGUAGUAGUGGUAGUAGUGGUGGUAGUGGUAGUAGUAGUAGUAGUGGUGCCGUUUUAAUGGAAAAUACAACUAAUAAAAAUAAAAAUGAAAAAUGCUUUGAAAAGGUGAAGGGAAUAUUAAAAGGGGAUGAGAUGCAAGAAUGUCAGUUAAAAAAACAGAUUAGUAACUAUUUAAAUAUUUUAAAUACAAAAAAAAGAGAAUUUAAAAAUAGGAAACCAAACAAAUGGUUGUGA